Non-coding RNA from Sus scrofa (pig), 2325 nucleotides. The record is from RefSeq and is a predicted model, not a curated record. NCBI's taxonomy places the organism in Eukaryota, Metazoa, Chordata, Mammalia, Artiodactyla, Suidae.
GGCAGCCUAAGCAAUGUUUGCCUGAAUUUUACAGCAACUUGGCGUCAGCUGGUCUAGUUCAAUCUGAGCUGGUUAAGACUGAGCAUGCUCAAGUGUCAGCGUGAUGCCCUCUUGAUGGCAGAGAGCCUCAGAUGGUGCUAAGAGCCUCCAUUUUUGAAGGUGCAGAGGCCUGUAGCUUAGUUACAGGACAUUGGUCACUGCACCUUUUCCCAGUCACCUCUCCCUGAGUUCCCCAUGGCUCGGAUCACCCAUACAUAUGCUUUAUCCCAUAAAUAACCCAAGGUCCUUGCCUUCAGGGAGGUGGAUCUGAGACUAGUCUUUCCGUCUCCUGAACUGGCUGCCUUGUGAAUAGACUCUUUUUGCUGCAAAUCUCGCCAUCUCAGCAUUUUGGCUUGCUCUGAAUCAGGCACAAGGAACCUGUGCCUGAGGUUCAGCAAUAUUACCUCCGUCGGAAGGAAUGGAAGCUCAAAGUGGUUAAGAAGAUUAUUUAGGAGUAUGCCAGUAGUAAGUUGGAGAGAUUGUGUGAGCCGCCAGGCCUGAAGCCCGCAGCAUUUUACCUGUGCAACGCGAAAGGCUGAGCCUGGAUGGAGAAGAGAAGGAGGCGCCGCUCUGCGGAAUGCUCUCCGCGGCGCAUGCUCGGCGAGAUUUCGUGCCGGAGAACACAAACUACUCCGUUAAUUAAAUAGCAAAGGUCGAUGGAGCACCAUGGACAUUCUCUGAAGGCUGCUAGCCAGGAGACUCAAGAAGAAAUUGUUAAAAAGGAGAACUAUCCAAACAUUGUCCUCUCCCUUUGCAGCCUCAACAGGAAAGAAAACUCAUAGUCACUGGAGCCUUGUCAAUGCCAUGCAUGGAGAUUGACCCCUGGAAAAGCAGAGGAUGGAGAAGAUAGAAAUCUGGAGGGACAAAGGGAAGAAGACAUCCGACACAGGAGGUCUUUGGGACAAAUCCCAUCUGUUCCUCAGUCUUUAAUUUCUUCAUCUAUGAAACGGACAAGUUGGAUUAUACUUAUGAUAAUAACAACUAAAACCGCAGCAACACUGAUAGAAGUUAUUUGUUGAGCCCUUAUCAUGAGCCAUAUCUUCAUUUGUCAAAUAGCCUUCAGAAUCAAUAUUAUCCCCAUUGGACAAAUGAGAAAACUGAGGCCCAGCGAAGUGUGGGAUGUUCCUUCACAGACUUGAUAAAUUGCCCUCUUUGAAAAAUAUACUUUCCUGAGGUCCCUCCAUCAUUUUUAUUUACCAUAUCUCUAGUCCAGUUGCACUGUUUGGGGCAAUAGCUGUUUGGGAUUUCUGCUGUCUUUAAAAUUAAGCUUGGUACUAACUCGUCAGCCUUGGGUUCCUUGAUCAGCUCUUCUGGAUUCACUUAGUUUACAUAGCCGUCCUUGAUCUCACAUCAUUUCCUGUGGACACCAAUUCCAGCCAGGAUCUCCCCUGAAAGAGCAGAAGUUCCAAGAAAACAUGCCCCCCCACCCCCCACCUCUGCCCCACUCCUAUCCCCUAGGCCCUUUCUUGUUCUAUCCUAGUAAGACUCAGAUUCAUUCCCUGGCCUGGGAAAUCUAUAUGCCAUGGGUGCAGCUACUAAGAAAACAAAAAAUUGGCUCUGAAACUCUUGACAGGUUCAAGGGGCUUGUCUUAGGCCAGCACAUCAACGGGAGAUGGAGGGAGACAGGAAUGACUCCUUUGGUCAGUUUUAGGAAGAGGGAUCCUAGAGGAGAGAAUGGGAAGCCAAAGCUUUAAUUAGGGAAGGGGAGCAGUCACAGGCCUUGAGGUCUAUGGCAGAAAGGGGUUGAGCCCUGGACCUGGCACGGGGGGUGGGUGGGGUGGGCAGGGCUGAUACCAGGACUGGAGCCCCUGGGCAGCUUUCUCCCCCUUUCAUUAGGCCCCGAUGUAUAAGCCAGCAGGGAGAUGUGUUAACUCUGUGCAGGGAUUCCCAAGAAGCUUUCCCCCUUUCCUAGAAGGAGAAAGGACAAAGGGGACCCUGUUGGUGGCAAGGAAAGGAGGUGGUUGAAGUGCAUUCCACGAUCCUUUGGCCUUUUAAACCUGAAGAUGACGAGUUAAAUAAUUUUGAUGCAGAGACCUUGCCCACCAUUCUAACGAGCCCUAGGAGCUGGCACAGAAAGUGAAUAAUAAUAAAUUAAUUCCUGAGAAUUCCAUUUUUUGUGCUCAAUUAUUAAUGGUAUUACAGUGUUAUUAAUGGUGUCAAUUAUUAACGGCAUGAAUAAUUAAGAAAUCACAUCCAUGCGAUGAUGUACAAGGGUUCCAGUGUUGAACAAAUUGCCCAGGAUAAAUAAACAAACAUACCAGGGCUCAGACCUACAACAUUCAUGUU